RNAcentral lists this ribosomal RNA (253 nucleotides) under uncultured bacterium. RNAcentral's name for it is "partial 16S ribosomal RNA". It matches the Rfam family "Bacterial small subunit ribosomal RNA", at positions 524 to 776 of the family's 1533-position model. The record is from RNAcentral.
UACGUAGGGGGCGAGCGUUGUCCGGAAUCAUUGGGCGUAGAGCGCGUGUAGGCGGCCCGGUAAGUCCGCUGUGAAAGUCCAGGGCUCAACCCUGGGAUGCCGGUGGAUACUGUCGGGCUCGAGUCCGGAAGAGGCGAGUGGAAUUCCUGGUGUAGCGGUGGAAUGCGCAGAUAUCAGGAGGAACACCAAUAGCGAAGGCAGCUCGCUGGGACGGUACUGACGCUGAGGCGCGAAAGCGUGGGGAGCGAACAGG